RNAcentral lists this ribosomal RNA (645 nucleotides) under Lacticaseibacillus rhamnosus. Its description in RNAcentral is "bacterial SSU rRNA". It matches the Rfam family "Bacterial small subunit ribosomal RNA", at positions 879 to 1520 of the family's 1533-position model. The record is from RNAcentral. Lineage: Bacteria; Bacillati; Bacillota; Bacilli; Lactobacillales; Lactobacillaceae.
AGUACGACCGCAAGGUUGAAACUCAAAGGAAUUGGUCGGUGGGCCCGCACAAGCGGUGGAGCAUGUGGUUUAAUUCGAAGCAACGCGAAGAACCUUACCAGGUCUUGACAUCUUUUGAUCACCUGAGAGAUCAGGUUUCCCCUUCGGGGGCAAAAUGACAGGUGGUGCAUGGUUGUCGUCAGCUCGUGUCGUGAGAUGUUGGGUUAAGUCCCGCAACGAGCGCAACCCUUAUGACUAGUUGCCAGCAUUUAGUUGGGCACUCUAGUAAGACUGCCGGUGACAAACCGGAGGAAGGUGGGGAUGACGUCAAAUCAUCAUGCCCCUUAUGACCUGGGCUACACACGUGCUACAAUGGAUGGUACAACGAGUUGCGAGACCGCGAGGUCAAGCUAAUCUCUUAAAGCCAUUCUCAGUUCGGACUGUAGGCUGCAACUCGCCUACACGAAGUCGGAAUCGCUAGUAAUCGCGGAUCAGCACGCCGCGGUGAAUACGUUCCCGGGCCUUGUACACACCGCCCGUCACACCAUGAGAGUUUGUAACACCCGAAGCCGGUGGCGUAACCCUUUUAGGGAGCGAGCCGUCUAAGGUGGGACAAAUGAUUAGGGUGAAGUCGUAACAAGGUAGCCGUAGGAGAACCUGCGGCUG